GCUGAGAGCAGUCAAAAUGCAUUAAAGAAGCUGUCAUACCGAUUGUUACCGUAAGUACACAAUUACACGCGCAAGCCAAAAAAAAUGCGGCUGGCUUGACCGCAGUCCUGCACGCGCGAGGUUAGACAAGCCUCUCCGUGUAAACUGGAAACGCUUAUUUUUUUAUUAUUAUUAGUUUUUUUACAAAAGAUCAUUUCAGACCCUACUGUUUCUUCUUAUUCUUCUUUUUUGUGUACGUCAACCCCACAACAUCCACAAAUUCAGAUGACGCCAAAUGUGUGUUUCUUUCCGUGAAAGUGUUACCGUAAGUACACAAUUACACGCGCAAGCCAAAAAAAAAUGCGGCUGGCUUGACCGCAGUCCUGCACGCGCGAGGUUAGACAAGCCUCUCCGUGUAAACUGGAAACGCUUAUUUUUUUAUUAUUAUUAGUUUUUUUACAAAAGAUCAUUUCAGACCCUACUGUUUCUUCUUAUUCUUCUUUUUUGUGUACGUCAACCCCACAACAUCCACAAAUUCAGAUGACGCCAAAUGUGUGUUUCUUUCCGUGAAAGUGAAACUAAAGCACCAGGAUUCGUCGAGGAAUGUGAGGAAUAUAAAUAACUCCGAGAGAGGAAAACCGAGAAAAUUUCAAACAUGAGAUCCAUGUCUCCUGCUCCAGAGUCCAGCUGUGUGUCUAUGAGGAGCGACGCGUCAAUGGAUCCUCCAACUAAUUUCAGUUCGGGAGACUCUUCUGCUAAACGGAGGAAAAUUUCAAACAUGAGAUCCAUGUCUCCUGCUCCAGAGUCCAGCUGUGUGUCUAUGAGGAGCGACGCGUCAAUGGAUCCUCCAACUAAUUUCAGUUCAGGAGACUCUUCUGCUAAACGGAGCUACAGUAACGAACAGGAAGGAUCAAAGUCUUUGAAUAGCGAGAUGCUGCCAGAUGCCAUCUUCAGGGAGCUCGAGGACACAAGCAUCUCUUUGAUGAAGAACGAGCUGAGAAGAUUCAAGAAACUGCUGAACCCAGAUUACCCAGCAUGCUCUGUGAGAGAGGAGGAGGAGGAGGAGGAGGAGGAUGAAGGGCAGAGUCGAGUGAGCGAGGCAGUUCUGAGGAUUAUGCUUCAUGUCCUGAGGAAGAUGAACCAGCCAGAACUCGCUAACACACUCCAG
This 1147-nucleotide long non-coding RNA is filed under the name Sinocyclocheilus grahami. Its description in RNAcentral is "lncRNA (ENSSGRG00000026807.1)". The record is from RNAcentral. Lineage: Eukaryota; Metazoa; Chordata; Actinopteri; Cypriniformes; Cyprinidae.